AAUAACGCACAAACACUAAAUUAAGAGAUCAGGAAAGCAUCAGAGUUAAGGUUAGUAAGAUGGUGGAGGCGGAAGUAGCUGUGGCGGGUUGGCUGCAAUAUGUUGAAAUAGCUAGCUAUUAUAUUUUAAAAAAUAUGUCAUAUAUUUUGAGUAUGUAAAAUGCUAGUUAAAGAUUAUAUAUAUGAUAUUAUUAUUAUGCAAUAAUUUAUUUAUCGCUCGAUGGAGAGUGCAUGUAGUCGGCCCCUCUUGGACGCUUGACCAAAGCCCUCAUGAUCAUGUUGUGCUAUGCCAAUUUCAUGAGUGAGCUGGUCGGUCAACUCCUUUUGGCGAGCUAGACUCGGUUACCCCAUCAUGUACCGCUUUAUUAAAAUUGUAAUUAAAUGUCCGACUGCUUAGCCGCACGUAUUUGUAGACUGGUUCUAAACCACCAGCGUGCUGAGCCAAGCUUUCCGACUUAAAUAUUAAAUAUGUUAUAAUACUUAGUUUAAUUAUCUAACAA
Molecule: long non-coding RNA, 499 nt
Organism: Salvia miltiorrhiza (redroot sage)
Lineage: Eukaryota; Viridiplantae; Streptophyta; Magnoliopsida; Lamiales; Lamiaceae
Exons: 2
Source: RefSeq, a predicted model, not a curated record